GAUGAACGCCGGGCGGUGUGCCUAAUACAUGCAAGUCGAACGCAUUGGCCCAAUUGAUUGACGGUGCUUGCACCUGAUUGAUUUUGGUCGCCAACGAGUGGCGGACGGGUGAGUAACACGUAGGUAACCUGCCCAGAAGCGGGGGACAACAUUUGGAAACAGAUGCUAAUACCGCAUAACAACGUUGUUCGCAUGAACAACGUUUAAAAGAUGGCUUCUCGCUAUCACUUCUGGAUGGACCUGCGGUGCAUUAGCUUGUUGGUGGGGUAAUGGCCUACCAAGGCGAUGAUGCAUAGCCGAGUUGAGAGACUGAUCGGCCACAAUGGGACUGAGACACGGCCCAUAUUCCUACGGGAGGCAGCAGUAGGGAAUCUUCCACAAUGGGCGCAAGCCUGAUGGAGCAACACCGCGUGAG
This 415-nucleotide ribosomal RNA is filed under the name Limosilactobacillus fermentum. RNAcentral describes it as "bacterial SSU rRNA". It matches the Rfam family "Bacterial small subunit ribosomal RNA", at positions 28 to 405 of the family's 1533-position model. Lineage: Bacteria; Bacillati; Bacillota; Bacilli; Lactobacillales; Lactobacillaceae. The record is from RNAcentral.